GCCGAGAUGGCGGAAUGGCAGACGCACUUGACUCAAAAUCAAGCGUCCUCUGGAUGUGAGGGUUCGAGUCCCUCUCUCGGCACCA
RNAcentral lists this transfer RNA (85 nucleotides) under Bacillota bacterium. RNAcentral's name for it is "tRNA-Leu". It matches the Rfam family "tRNA". Rfam says of the family: Transfer RNA (tRNA) molecules are approximately 80 nucleotides in length. Their secondary structure includes four short double-helical elements and three loops (D, anti-codon, and T loops). Lineage: Bacteria; Bacillati; Bacillota. The record is from RNAcentral. RNAcentral also lists the same sequence under 2 other names.